Molecule: ribosomal RNA, 253 nt
Filed under: uncultured bacterium
Lineage: Bacteria
Description: partial 16S ribosomal RNA
Rfam family: Bacterial small subunit ribosomal RNA
Source: RNAcentral
UACGUAGGGUGCAAGCGUUAAUCGGAAUUACUGGGCGUAAAGCGUGCGCAGGCGGCUUUGCAAGACAGAUGUGAAAUCCCCGGGCUCAACCUGGGAACUGCAUUUGUGACUGCAUGGCUGGAGUGCGGCAGAGGGGGGAUGGAAUUCCGCGUGUAGCAGUGAAAUGCGUAGAUAUGCGGAGGAACACCGAUGGCGAAGCAAUCCCCUGGGCCUGCACUGACGCUCAUGCACGAAAGCGUGGGGAGCAAACAGG